RNAcentral lists this ribosomal RNA (667 nucleotides) under Burkholderia gladioli. RNAcentral's name for it is "bacterial SSU rRNA". It matches the Rfam family "Bacterial small subunit ribosomal RNA", at positions 64 to 724 of the family's 1533-position model. The record is from RNAcentral. Lineage: Bacteria; Pseudomonadati; Pseudomonadota; Betaproteobacteria; Burkholderiales; Burkholderiaceae.
GAACGGCAGCACGGGUGCUUGCACCUGGUGGCGAGUGGCGAACGGGUGAGUAAUACAUCGGAACAUGUCCUGUAGUGGGGGAUAGCCCGGCGAAAGCCGGAUUAAUACCGCAUACGAUCCAUGGAUGAAAGCGGGGGACCUUCGGGCCUCGCGCUAUAGGGUUGGCCGAUGGCUGAUUAGCUAGUUGGUGGGGUAAAGGCCCACCAAGGCGACGAUCAGUAGCUGGUCUGAGAGGACGACCAGCCACACUGGGACUGAGACACGGCCCAGACUCCUACGGGAGGCAGCAGUGGGGAAUUUUGGACAAUGGGCGAAAGCCUGAUCCAGCAAUGCCGCGUGUGUGAAGAAGGCCUUCGGGUUGUAAAGCACUUUUGUCCGGAAAGAAAUCCUGAGGGCUAAUAUCCUUCGGGGAUGACGGUACCGGAAGAAUAAGCACCGGCUAACUACGUGCCAGCAGCCGCGGUAAUACGUAGGGUGCGAGCGUUAAUCGGAAUUACUGGGCGUAAAGCGUGCGCAGGCGGUUUGUUAAGACCGAUGUGAAAUCCCCGGGCUCAACCUGGGAACUGCAUUGGUGACUGGCAAGCUAGAGUAUGGCAGAGGGGGGUAGAAUUCCACGUGUAGCAGUGAAAUGCGUAGAGAUGUGGAGGAAUACCGAUGGCGAAGGCAG